Molecule: ribosomal RNA, 566 nt
Filed under: uncultured bacterium
Lineage: Bacteria
Description: bacterial SSU rRNA
Rfam family: Bacterial small subunit ribosomal RNA
Source: RNAcentral
CACUGCAAGUCGAACGCGCAGCAUUUGUAGCAUACAGAUGAUGUGGCGCGUGGCGAACGGGUGCGUAACACGUGGAUAACUUCCUUCAGGUGGGGAAUAACCCAGUGAAAAUUGGGCUAAUACCGUCAUAACAUGACGAUGGCUCAUGCUGUUGUUCUUCAAAGGCGCAAGUCGCCAGAAGAGGGAUCCGCGGCCGAUUAGCUAGUUGGCGAGGUAAUGGCUCACCAAGGCAAUGAUCGGUAGCCGGACUGAGAGGUUGGCCGGCCACACUGGAACUGAGACACGGUCCAGACUCCAUACGGGAGGCAGCAGUGGGGAAUCUUGCACAAUGGACGAAAGUCUGAUGCACAACGCCGCGUGGGGGAUGAAGCUUUUCGGAGUGUAAACCCCUUUCGACCCGGAAGAAAGCCCGCAAGGGUUUGACGGUACGGGUAUAAGAAGCCCCGGUUAACUACGUGCCAGCAGCCGCGGUAAAACGUAGGGGGCCAGCGUUGCUCGGAAUUACUGGGCGUAAAGGGUCCGUAAGGCGGUGUGGCAAAGUCGGGUAGUUGGAAAAUCUCUGGGCU